ACGAAUUCCAGAGUCCCGUCGCUCCUACCGAUUGGGUGUGCUGGUGAAGAGUUCGGACUGGCCAGGCGCUCGCAAGGGCUCUGGGCCGGGAAGUUCUUUGAACCCUCUCGCCUAGAGGAAGGAGAAGUCGUAACAAGGUUUCCGUAGGUGAACCUGCGGAAGGAUCAUUUAUUCGAUCGUAACAACACGCCAAUCAAUGGUAACCUCUGUCGUACCCCUGUAUACCUUGGUCCCCGGGUUAGCCCGGUGGGUAGCCAAGUAUACAGGGCAACUUUUUUUUUUCUCACCACAACCGCCAAAAAUAUUUUAUUAAAGCACAAGUUUAAACAAAGUCGCACCUGCACUUGGCUCAGCCAAUGUAGGCUUUGCGCAAAUAACCAAGAAAAACCCCUAACAACGGAUGUCUUGGCUCUCGCAACGAUGAAGAACGCAGCGAAGUGCGAUAUGUAGUGUGAAUUGCAGAAUUACGUGAAUCAUCGAAUCUUUGAACGCAUAUGGCACCCGAGACCUCGGUCGAGGGUAUGUCUGCCUCAGAGUCGGCGUAAACCAACUCCCCUGUUGCGGCUCCAAGCGAGCCCCCCAGGGGGAACUGACUCUUCCCGCACCGCAGGUGCGGGUUGGUCGAAGGCAAGAUACGGGUACACCUGGCCGGAGCCGUUCCCGGUCGGACCGAGAUUUGUUGGGUAGGACCAAGGUCCAACUUAUUCGUCUCGGGACGAGGGUUACGGCAGUGCCGUUGGUUACCCGCAUUGCAGGAAUAUGUGGGAGGAUAUCUUCCUCCCCUCUUUCAUCCGACCUGAGUUCAGGCAAGAUCACCCGCUGAACUUAAGCAUAUCAAUAAGCGGAGGAAAAGAAACUAACCAGGAUUCCCCUAGUAACGGCGAGCGAAAAGGGAAGAUCUGGUAGCGGCCGCUCUAGAGGAUCCUGCCGC
RNAcentral lists this ribosomal RNA (931 nucleotides) under Phycopeltis sp. YN1202. RNAcentral describes it as "eukaryotic LSU rRNA". The stretch from base 386 to 539 matches the Rfam family "5.8S ribosomal RNA". Lineage: Eukaryota; Viridiplantae; Chlorophyta; Ulvophyceae; Trentepohliales; Trentepohliaceae. The record is from RNAcentral.